RNAcentral lists this ribosomal RNA (248 nucleotides) under uncultured bacterium. RNAcentral's name for it is "partial 16S ribosomal RNA". It matches the Rfam family "Bacterial small subunit ribosomal RNA", at positions 15 to 263 of the family's 1533-position model. The record is from RNAcentral.
GAUCAUGGCUCAGGACGAACGCUGGCGGCGUGCCUAACACAUGCAAGUCGAACGGAAGCAAAGAUUUCGGUUUUUGCUUUAGUGGCGAACGGGUGAGUAACGCGUGAGGAACCUGCCUUUCAGUGGGGGACAACAGUUGGAAACGACUGCUAAUACCGCAUAAUGCUUUUGGAUCGCAUGAUUUAAAAGCCAAAGAUUUAUUGCUGAAAGAUGGCCUCGCGUCUGAUUAGCUGGUUGGUGGGUAACGG